CAAUAGCGUAUAUUAAAGUUGUUGCGGUUAAAAAGCUCGUAGUUGGAUUUCUGCCGAGGACGACCGGUCCGCCCUCUGGGUGAGUAUCUGGUUCGGCCUGGGCAUCUUCUUGGAGAACGUAUCUGCACUUGACUGUGUGGUGCGGUAUCCAGGACUUUUACUUUGAGGAAAUUAGAGUGUUUCAAGCAGGCACACGCCUUGAAUACAUUAGCAUGGAAUAAUAAGAUAGGACCUUGGUUCUAUUUUGUUGGUUUCUAGAGCUGAGGUAAUGAUUAAUAGGGAUAGUUGGGGGCGAUUCGUAUUAACGCGUCAGAGGUGGAAUUCUUAGAUUGCGUUACGACGAACUACUGCGAAAGCAUUUGCCAAGGAUGUUUUCUAUUGAUCAAGAACGAAAGUAUGGGAGUCAAAGAUGAUCAGAUACCGU
This 424-nucleotide ribosomal RNA is filed under the name uncultured eukaryote. RNAcentral's name for it is "SSU rRNA". It matches the Rfam family "Eukaryotic small subunit ribosomal RNA", at positions 592 to 1018 of the family's 1831-position model. The record is from RNAcentral.